GGUUCCGUAGUGUAGUGGUUAUCACGUUCGCUUCAUACGCGAAAGGUCUCGGUUGAUCCCGACGGAACCA
Molecule: transfer RNA, 70 nt
Filed under: Trichonephila inaurata madagascariensis
Lineage: Eukaryota; Metazoa; Arthropoda; Arachnida; Araneae; Nephilidae
Rfam family: tRNA
About the family: Transfer RNA (tRNA) molecules are approximately 80 nucleotides in length. Their secondary structure includes four short double-helical elements and three loops (D, anti-codon, and T loops). Further hydrogen bonds mediate the characteristic L-shaped molecular structure. tRNAs have two regions of fundamental functional importance: the anti-codon, which is responsible for specific mRNA codon recognition, and the 3' end, to which the tRNAs corresponding amino acid is attached (by aminoacyl-tRNA synthetases). tRNAs cope with the degeneracy of the genetic code in two manners: having more than one tRNA (with a specific anti-codon) for a particular amino acid; and 'wobble' base-pairing, i.e. permitting non-standard base-pairing at the 3rd anti-codon position.
Source: Rfam by way of RNAcentral